RNAcentral lists this ribosomal RNA (619 nucleotides) under uncultured bacterium. RNAcentral's name for it is "bacterial SSU rRNA". It matches the Rfam family "Bacterial small subunit ribosomal RNA", at positions 338 to 948 of the family's 1533-position model. The record is from RNAcentral.
CCUACGGGAGGCAGCAGUAGGGAAUCUUCCGCAAUGGACGAAAGUCUGACGGAGCAACGCCGCGUGAACGAUGAAGGCCUUCGGGUCGUAAAGUUCUGUUGUUAGGGAAGAACAAGUGCUAGUUGAAUAAGCUGGCACCUUGACGGUACCUAACCAGAAAGCCACGGCUAACUACGUGCCAGCAGCCGCGGUAAUACGUAGGUGGCAAGCGUUGUCCGGAAUUAUUGGGCGUAAAGCGCGCGCAGGCGGUUUCUUAAGUCUGAUGUGAAAGCCCCCGGCUCAACCGGGGAGGGUCAUUGGAAACUGGGAAACUUGAGUGCAGAAGAGGAAAGUGGAAUUCCAAGUGUAGCGGUGAAAUGCGUAGAGAUUUGGAGGAACACCAGUGGCGAAGGCGACUUUCUGGUCUGUAACUGACGCUGAGGCGCGAAAGCGUGGGGAGCAAACAGGAUUAGAUACCCUGGUAGUCCACGCUGUAAACGAUGAGUGCUAAGUGUUAGAGGGUUUCCGCCUUUAGUGCUGAAGUUAACGCAUUAAGCACUCCGCCUGGGGAGUACGGUCGCAAGACUGAAACUCAAAGAGAAGUGACGNGNGAGAGCGACGACGACGACGACGAGGAGAG